AGUCGGCUGUGGCAGCUGGAAGAGAAGGAAUCGGACGGAGAAGAAUGAAAAAUCACUUUGCUUUCGCAAAGCGAAAGAAAAGUAUUCUUUUCCUCAUUAUUUUUAAAUAAAUUUGAUUGUAUAUUUACCUAAUAAAAUAAACAUUCAAUUAAACAAAAAUAAGCAACUAUCAAAGAUUUGUUUACUAAUUUUCGUAAUGUUUACUGUUUCAAUAAGUAGCCAAAGGAAUAUUAAAACACAAAAAUAUGAAUGCUGAUAAUUUUAUGUCAUAAAGACCAUUUUAAAACUAAAAGUGAACAUGGGGUUUCUAAAUAAAAUUACCGUGGUAGCGUAAAAACACUGCUUUCAAUACUUGGGCAUGCUGAAAGUGCUGCAUCCUAAGAUAAAAAAUACACCAAGGGGGGGAUUUCAAAGAACAUUAUUUUGCUUUUAAUAAUCCUGUAUUUCUGUCACUUUGCCCUUUUUAUUUAUUUACCGUGAACUCACAGACAGAAUAUUACUUGGAGUUUCUGAAAUACUUGUGUUUGUACAUUUCUCAUCUUACACGUACCCACACACCCCAAAAUAA
This 568-nucleotide long non-coding RNA is filed under the name Homo sapiens (human). RNAcentral's name for it is "non-protein coding lnc-NFE2L3-9:1". The record is from RNAcentral. Lineage: Eukaryota; Metazoa; Chordata; Mammalia; Primates; Hominidae.